GCCAUGUGUCACUUUGCAGAUGGAUCAAGUGCAGGAGGUGCCUGUUGGAGACGCAGAGCUCUGCAGCAGCAGGUGAGCUGAUGCUGCAACCUGCUAAACGCCGCUCCUGCGGAGCGCCAGGGCCCAGAGUGCACAUGGCUCUCAGGCUCCGUGAAAAGCUUGCAGUGAGCUCAGCCACUGAAAAGUCACUACGAAGAUGGAAAGCAAAAUGAAAACCGAGUCCUCGGUACCCUAUGUUUAUCUGUCUCUAAGAGAACAUCCUUGGGUUUAUUUAUGAUUUGAGUACUUCAUAAGAAAAGUAGUAUAAAAUAGAAA
RNAcentral lists this long non-coding RNA (315 nucleotides) under Homo sapiens (human). Its description in RNAcentral is "non-protein coding lnc-PPDPFL-3:2". The record is from RNAcentral. Lineage: Eukaryota; Metazoa; Chordata; Mammalia; Primates; Hominidae.